This is a long non-coding RNA of Ornithodoros turicata, 866 nucleotides long. RefSeq lists it as uncharacterized. The transcript is spliced from 3 exons. Lineage: Eukaryota; Metazoa; Arthropoda; Arachnida; Ixodida; Argasidae. The record is from RefSeq and is a predicted model, not a curated record.
UUUCCCUUUAUUGCUCUUUGUGAAGCGCUCUCUCUCCAGGAAUAAACACGCCAGCGCCGGUCGGUAAUCAUGAUCAUCAUCAUCAUCAUCACAGGCGGACAAAGGAGCAAGGCUUAGCUCGGUGUGUCAGCUAAGUAGCAGUUCGGGAACUGUACCCCGCAGGUCGGCACGUUAAGUGGGUGGCAGUUCGGGAGCCGAGAGGCGUGUUAGGUAAGUGGCAGUGCGGGAACCGAGGUAAGCACAAAAUUGGGUACCGUCGUGACUGGACGACGUUUCACUGAGCGUACAAAGAUCGGCGAGUUAGGUAAGCGGCAGUUCAGGAACCAAGGUAAGGACAAAACUUAAUGCCGUUGUAACUUUUUUCACUGAGCGCAUGAAAAUCAACUUCAAAUACUGUGAUACCCACAGCAUACUGCAGUUUCGGACAGAGGUAAGUUAUUGACGUAGCAGAUUGUGCGAGCUAAAGCAAUGCGAACUUCUAUGUGUAUUUGCAGAGUGAUGGCAAAAAGAACGGUAAGCGGAUGGGCGAAGCAGCUUGCUAUACAGAGUUGGAAUGUUAACUAUUUUUUUCUUUUCAGAGAGACUGCUGGUCCAGGCAGUCAUCCAGGCGCACUGUCACUUCUUGACAUGCGCUACGGAAUUACUUCACAACCCGCACCCGGACACAGUUUGCCGUCAAUGUACAGUGACUUAGCGACGUGUGGCCUGCCUUGCACUGAACGCUUGUUCGUUUUGUUCUUGCCUGUUGUAUGACUCCAAACUCCACAGUAACUAUGUUGUGUUGUGCGCGGCUACUGUGUGUUUGCUGCUGGAUAUCAUUAAAGGUAUGUGCGGUAUGUGGAUGUAAUAAAAUGUUGGAUGGCGCA